This 311-nucleotide small nuclear RNA is filed under the name Ailuropoda melanoleuca (giant panda). RNAcentral describes it as "7SK RNA". It matches the Rfam family "7SK RNA". Rfam says of the family: 7SK was discovered as an abundant small nuclear RNA in the mid-70s but a possible function has only recently been suggested. Two independent studies have found that 7SK RNA binds the CDK9/cyclin T complex (known as elongation factor P-TEFb). P-TEFb activates transcription by phosphorylating the C-terminal domain of RNA polymerase II. Lineage: Eukaryota; Metazoa; Chordata; Mammalia; Carnivora; Ursidae. The record is from Rfam by way of RNAcentral.
CAAUUUGAGGGUGAUCUGGCUGGGACAUCUGUCGUGCCCCAUUGAUUGCCAGGGUUGAUUCGGCUGAUCUGGCUGACGAGACAGGUGUCUGCUUCCUCCGUCACCGCUCCAUGUAUGUUUCUCCCCAGGCAACGUGCUGGGUGGAAGAGGACCACUUACCCAGACGGAGGAGGACCGUUCUUCCGUCAAGGGUAUAGGAGGAGCUCUUGGGCUCCCCGCUAGAACCUCCAAACAAACUUUCACAGUCCAUUAUUAGAAGCUUUAAAAAAAGAGAAAGGAGACAAUUAAACGAAAACCAGGAUUCUCAAUCU